RNAcentral lists this unclassified non-coding RNA (224 nucleotides) under Hevea brasiliensis (rubber tree). Lineage: Eukaryota; Viridiplantae; Streptophyta; Magnoliopsida; Malpighiales; Euphorbiaceae. The record is from RNAcentral.
UAUUUUCUAUUUUUUAUGCCUUUUCUCAAUUUAAUACCUUUGCGUGUAUAUUGAGAAGUAAUAAUGCUAAGGAAUAUCUUUUUGGUAAUUUCCAAACUUAUGUGUCACAAAAUGGCAUUCUUCAUCAGAUAUCUUGUAUUGAUACUCUCCAUCCCAAAACGGGAUUGCUGAAAGGAAAAAUAGACAUUUUCUUGAGGUAACACGGGCACUCCUUUUUCAAAUGA